UAUCAUGAUUAGGAGUGUCUGCUC
This 24-nucleotide non-coding RNA is filed under the name Arabidopsis thaliana (thale cress). Lineage: Eukaryota; Viridiplantae; Streptophyta; Magnoliopsida; Brassicales; Brassicaceae. The record is from RNAcentral.